GGCCACCUCUUUGGUUCUGUAC
RNAcentral lists this microRNA (22 nucleotides) under human gammaherpesvirus 4 (Epstein-Barr virus). Its description in RNAcentral is "Human gammaherpesvirus 4 (Epstein-Barr virus) miR-BART10-5p". Lineage: Duplodnaviria; Heunggongvirae; Peploviricota; Herviviricetes; Herpesvirales; Orthoherpesviridae. The record is from RNAcentral.